GGGAGUAGGAGGAGGCGCCUUUUCAGCCUGUACCCCAAAGUGAGCUGAUUACCUACCAAAGAACUCCGAUCACCCAUGAAAUCAGCCUGAGAUCAGAAUUAUACACGUCUGGAUCUCUAUAGGGGCAGAAGACACCAGUGGGCAGACAUAGGUUCAGAGGAUUGAAGAGGGAGAUCCAAGGAGCUAGCCUCUCAAGAGGAGUGAAUACCUAGUCACUGGAAAAUUUCCAGUUCUCAGUAUAACUGCCCACUGGCCCAGGGGUGGACAAGUGAGUCAGAUGAGACCAAAAUGAAAAUUCUGUUGAGACACUGGACCUUGAGGAUUCAAGCCAAGGACGAAAAAGUAGAAGGCCACUAGAAACAGCAGGCUCCUGUCCCUCCAUGCAGAACAUCUGUCAACAACUAUGGACAUCUUUUGCUCCCCCAUUCCUAUGAAUGUUGCUCAGUUGUUACAUGGCAUGGACAAAUGCUGCUGGCUGGUGGCAUGGACACACUGGACAAGCUUGGCCUUCGGUAAAACAAAGACUGGAUUCAAUUACUCAAACUGAAACAGGAAUGCUUGGAUGAACAAGCCUGCCAGGAAGUCCCACUGGAGGUACUCAACCUGUGCCCCUUCCCUCUUUGGACCAAGAACCUGACCUUGAGAGAUGAAUGGCUUAUCCAAGGUUAUGGCAAGGUUACACAGAGCUGAAACUAGACACAGGUGUACAUGCUUAUUGAUCAAGGCUGGCUGUGAAAUGGAAUUGCCUCAAAUCUUGAUUCUUUUUGCCACUUCUUAUUCUCUGACCCUGUUUUUCCAUAGUUUAGGAUGUAGGAAUAAUAAAAAUAUCAGCUAAUGGGGUAUCCUGACUUUUUGAUGU
Molecule: long non-coding RNA, 859 nt
Organism: Mustela lutreola (European mink)
Lineage: Eukaryota; Metazoa; Chordata; Mammalia; Carnivora; Mustelidae
Exons: 4
Source: RefSeq, a predicted model, not a curated record